This 823-nucleotide ribosomal RNA is filed under the name Krasilnikoviella sp. RNAcentral describes it as "bacterial SSU rRNA". It matches the Rfam family "Bacterial small subunit ribosomal RNA", at positions 67 to 902 of the family's 1533-position model. Lineage: Bacteria; Bacillati; Actinomycetota; Actinomycetes; Micrococcales; Promicromonosporaceae. The record is from RNAcentral.
CGGUGAAGCCCAGCUUGCUGGGCGGAUCAGUGGCGAACGGGUGAGUAACACGUGAGCAACCUGCCCCUCACUUCGGGAUAAGCCUUGGAAACGGGGUCUAAUACCGGAUAUGAGCGCCUACCGCAUGGUGGGUGUUGGAAAGUUUUUCGGUGGGGGAUGGGCUCGCGGCCUAUCAGCUUGUUGGUGGGGUGAUGGCCUACCAAGGCGUCGACGGGUAGCCGGCCUGAGAGGGCGACCGGCCACACUGGGACUGAGACACGGCCCAGACUCCUACGGGAGGCAGCAGUGGGGAAUAUUGCACAAUGGGCGCAAGCCUGAUGCAGCGACGCCGCGUGAGGGAUGACGGCCUUCGGGUUGUAAACCUCUUUCAGCAGGGAAGAAGCGCAAGUGACGGUACCUGCAGAAGAAGCGCCGGCUAACUACGUGCCAGCAGCCGCGGUAAUACGUAGGGCGCAAGCGUUGUCCGGAAUUAUUGGGCGUAAAGAGCUCGUAGGCGGUCUGUCGCGUCUGGUGUGAAAACCCGAGGCUCAACCUCGGGCUGGCAUCGGGUACGGGCAGACUAGAGUGCGGUAGGGGAGACUGGAAUUCCUGGUGUAGCGGUGGAAUGCGCAGAUAUCAGGAGGAACACCGAUGGCGAAGGCAGGUCUCUGGGCCGCAACUGACGCUGAGGAGCGAAAGCAUGGGGAGCGAACAGGAUUAGAUACCCUGGUAGUCCAUGCCGUAAACGUUGGGCACUAGGUGUGGGGCUCAUUCCACGAGCUCCGUGCCGCAGCUAACGCAUUAAGUGCCCCGCCUGGGGAGUACGGCCGCAAGGCUAAAACUC